This 376-nucleotide long non-coding RNA is filed under the name Lathyrus oleraceus (garden pea). RNAcentral describes it as "Pisum sativum (pea) long non-coding RNA (PSAT_LNC007468)". Lineage: Eukaryota; Viridiplantae; Streptophyta; Magnoliopsida; Fabales; Fabaceae. The record is from RNAcentral.
AGGGAUCUUACGGUCAAAAUUGGGGUCUUACAACAUGAUUUGAAGAAAUAAAUGACAAGUAAAAAAAAGAAAAUGUGAUAAAUAAUAAAGUAAAAAAAGAAAAUUAAAAAUAAAUAAAAAUCAAAUAGAAUAAGAAUAAAAUAUAAAAGAUAAACAAAUUAGAAGAAAAUAAAAUAAAUAAAUAAGUAAAAAAAGGUGAAAAAUAUUAAAGGGUGAAAAAUAAAGAAAAUAAAAUAAAUAAAAGUAAAAUAAGAAAAGAAAAGAAAUAAACUAAAUAAAUAAAAAGAGAAAAAAUAAAAUAAAUUGAAAAAAAGGGUGUAGAAGAGAAAAUAAGAGCCCAAAUAGAAAAAGGGAUAAGCCCAUGGGCGUUGAGGCC